Long non-coding RNA from Oryzias melastigma (Indian medaka), 3177 nucleotides. RefSeq lists it as uncharacterized. Lineage: Eukaryota; Metazoa; Chordata; Actinopteri; Beloniformes; Adrianichthyidae. The record is from RefSeq and is a predicted model, not a curated record. The transcript is spliced from 3 exons.
AUCAAAUCGAUAUAAACUUUAUAUCAAUUGGAUAUAAACUUUAUAUCAAAUCGAUAUAAAGUUUAUAUAAAACCCCUCCUGCAUUCCGAGUCACAAGUGUCUGCAUUCCAAGCGACGAGUCUCUGCAGCUCCGUGAUCCUUCCUGAGUGCCUGCCUGCACGAGAGGGAGGGAGACCGGAUACCCUUUUUAUGACGGGUCCAAUCCCCCUUCCCUUGAUCCACCCCUCCGAGCUCUUCUGGACAAGGAUGGUGGGAUUAAUAGGAAAUAAAAUAAUUCAAUGGUUAUUCCUUAAUUAGACUUUAUUUCAUUACACUGUAAAUAUCCAUUUGCCAGAUCAGAAGGCCUGGGGGUAGAGAAAGAAAAAAGCAGUUAGUCCCCCCUCUGCUUUUGAUGCCUUCCGACACCCAGUUACUGACUGAUACAGACAGUAGCAGAAAGGAGAUCUAGUCUGUUUCCUAAGGGGCGCGAACAUUCCGACACCAGCGUAUUCUGCCGGAUCUGUACGUCUGAGGUGCAGAAAGAAAAAAAGCGGUGAGAUCCCCCAUCUGUUUGAUGCUCACACUUAACACUUACUGACUGAUGAUACCUUAAUGAUCUAGCUUGCGGGAAAGGAAGAAACCCGUCGUCUGUUCCUAAGGAGAGGCGAUCAUUCCAACACCAGUGGGCCUUCUGAUGGAGAAGCGAGCAUUUGAGAGUGCAGAAAGAAAAAGGUUAGUUAGAUCCCCCACCAACAACCAUCUACCGACGGAUACAGACCUUGGGAAAGGAAGCCUAUUGUAAACCCGGGUAACACCCCAUCAAUCGGGUACAACUUAUGUCCCCCCCCACCACCCGCGGUUUCUUGGUUAAAUACUAAAACGCCGACCAAGAGUCAAACAAGUCCAGACAUAUCCUCCAAGCUUCUAAGCGUCAUGUCGCUUUUUACCAACGGAAAGGCCAGAGGUGAGUAAAACCUCUGAAUGAAAAUCCAACUGAUUUGAAACAUUUUUAAGCAAAGCAUGUUUUUGUUUUUUUAAAGAAACUCAAGCCGAUGUUCACCGCAUUCAAACAGAUAACUUCUUUGAUGGUAAGAUUUAUUUUAUUUUAACCUUUAUAUCAUUUUUAACCGCCAGUAUUUCUUCAUUUUUAAACUCACAGACUUUAUCGACUUGAGUCAACCCGAAUUGGGUAAGGUUCUUUCUCUUAUGACACGUAUUCCCUUAAUGCGCCACCCGUCGCUGCUCCAAAGCAGGGGAAGCUCUCCCUCAGAAAGACGUUUCGUCAGGAUCAGUCCGUGCGUCCUCCUUGUUUCCCGAACCGGUCCAAGGCUCCAGCGGGGGACUUCAGACCUAACUCGGCCGCAGCAGCUGCCAUCCCCGGGGGACCGGGGGAAGCUGUCGGUCAAACUCAGAUGCUCCAGCAGCAGCAGCAGCAGCGACCUACCCCGAACUUUCCGACCAAACAACCCGCGCAGAAGCCGCCUCAGCCUAACCCCCAGCCUCAGCCCCUGACCUCCGCGUCUCAGACCAUCUUGCAACCCGUCAACGAGCGUCCGGCUCCGGGUAAUCCACAGCCGAUCUCCGGGGUCCAGGCCUGCGAAAGCCGAAGCGAGCGCCCGACGGGUCCGGAGAAACACGCCUACUCGGAGCUUUAGGAUCGGGUUCAAACAACGGAGGCUGCUCCGAAGAAGAGGAAAAGGGGAACCGUCGAUGCCGAAUUUAAAAAAAUACAUCGACCGCUCUCCACCACCACCCCUGAAGACAACGACGCAGGAGGAGUUUCUGAGGAUCCGGCGAGCGACGACCCGACUAGACAAAGGUUCUAUUGGCACAGUAUGAUGGCUCGUACCUUGAUGAUGAUUGUGGAAAUGGCCCAAAAAAAUAUGAAUCAUUUUGUGAGAUUGUUUGGUGUUUUUUUCCGCAUAAACUCAUAAACUCAUAAAGAAAAAAAGUAUCUUGACCUCUUUUCAUUAAAUUAUUCAGGGUGUGACUUAAAAUGGAUGAUUCUGAGAAAACCGUUGACUCUUUGGAUUCAAAGGAACCAUUAUGGGGUCUGAAUGAAUUACGGCUAAUGAGUUCUGAACUUUACGAGUCACAUUCAGCAACCCCCAGAAAUGAUUUAGAAGGUGUGACGUUUGACCCAGACCACGAAUUGACGGAUGAAGCCGGUGUUUCUGUGCCCGUUCAUUCAUUUUCCACAGAAAAUGAUGAAUCCGCGACGCGCAAACCGGAAUUUGCACUCACGCCCAUAGAAGCCUCCAGAUUUCUACGCCAACUCGCCCACCCCCUCUUUACUGGAGUUCCUGCAGAACUUGGGCGGAGAAUCAGACCCUCUCGAAAAUGCAUGUGCGCAGACACCGUCGCGAGUUUUAACGGAUGAAGAAGAUGAAAAUGAUUUUCAAAACACUUUGGAUCAUCAGUUCGAAACAGAACAGCCGUCUCCUGACCCGUCCUUCGGGUUUCAGGAAGGCUACGGGGUGGAGGAAGCGUCAGAUGGUGAUGAGCCCGUUUGCCCUUCAACCUCCACAACGCCUUCGGGUCAGACGAGGUGGGUGGUUCACGAACGCUUCAACAACGUUGAAAUUAGGAGAGUUUUUAACGUGCCUGAUCUCAGUAGGGCUCCUGAUUUAGCACAGUUUUACACAGAUGUGGUAAAUGUUUUGGCAGAGUUAGCUGAGACGGUCAGCGUGGAUGCAGAACGCGGGGAUCUCGUUCAGUUAGAACUUAUCGGCGAUCAAGUGCGUUCUCACAUCACCUUGAGAAUGGAUGAACCUGUAAGCGCAGACACUAUUCUUCAGGCUUUUGAAGAGCUUUUAGAACGGGUCAUCCAAUCUAACGCCGGCAUAGCUUCAGACGCCGAACUUCAGUUGGUCGUUCAAGUUGUGCACAACCCUAGAGGGGGUGUCAAAUGUAGGCUCGAAAAAACUUUAGAUUGUGAAAUACUGGCCAAGAAAAAGAGACAUCUUUACGACGUCGGUUUUAGGAACGACCAGCUGUGCUUUGCCAUCAACUUGGCACACCUGCUCCAUCCUGGUUGUACGGACGCUCAAGCUGCAGAGAAAGGCAGAAAGCUGCAACGUUUAGCCGGUCUGGACGAACAGACGCCCGUAACUUUAAGCGACGUGACCAAAUUUGAGAACGCUUUGAAACGUAAAAUUGUCAUUUUCUACAAAAACCCAGAUCUGAAACCUCUCUUGC